UGGCCACUGCCUGGGCUGGGCCUGCAGGCACUGGCCAUCAGAGGGGUCUGUCUGUCACCUCCCUGCUGCAGAGCCUAAUAGAGCCUGUGUUUCCUCACUCCGGCCCUGGGGGAAGUGAGGCCUGGGAGAAGCCUCGCUUCCCGGAACACCCACCCCAGGCCCCUGGGCCCCUCGGAGCUACCUGCUGCUGUCCUGAUCCACCGAGCCUCCCCUCUGUGGAGGGCUCCUCCAGUAGCUCCUGCCUUCAGCCAACCCACCAGGGCAGCAAGCCAGCGUUGAGCACUGCCCGAAGCCUUGGAAAAUGCGAGCUCAGAGUGGAGGACGAGCCCUCGCCUGCUGGAGGAGAUGGCUUUGGAAGCAGAAUCCACCCCAAACCCAGUUCCAGGCCCGGCAGGAGGGGGUGGGGAGAGGAGGAGGAGGCGCUGAGCAGGGAUGAGGCUUCGGGAAGGAAUGCCCCGCUCCGCUGGAGCCCCCCCAGAGCCCCACUGGGAACUCAUCUCUCUGCCUGGUGACGUCAGGCUGGCCCGAGCACUGCAGCCCGAGUCCAGCUGUUAAUCUCUCCUGAAUUCUGCUGCUAGGCCAGGCUGCCCAGAAGAGGGAGCACUGGGCUGUGCACUUGCCUGGCACUUUUGUCUUGUUCCCAGUGUGCAUUUGCUGGCAGGCUGGCUGGUCCCCACCCCAUUGUUUCAAUGACUGAGGGGCUGAUGCAGGGAAGUCGGGGCAGCGGCAGUGGGGUGAGGGAUCCAUGCAGGGGUGGUGCAGAAUUGGCUGAGAGGCAGGCGACACCACCCAGGAGGCACCCCACUCUCCCUCCCACCUGGAAUCUGUCGAGGGCCCCCUAAGGGCUUUUGGAGCCAGGAAUUCCCCUUUCCCCAACUCUAAUAGUAAUCAGAUGGUGCAAGUGGAAAAUCACAACGCUCAGUGCGCAAAGAAAUUGGCAGCUAUGGUGCUGGUGUGAGUGCUGCUCAGUGGGAAGAUGAGUCAGCCCCCCCACCCCACCUCGAGCCCCUAGGAGUCCUGGAACGGGUUAGUGCCCAGGGCACCCGGCCCAAGGCUGUGAGGGUUGGACCCAAUGGGGUGGCUGUGAGGACAGUGUGGGGUGGCCCUCUCCUGCCCUGGGCCAACUUUCUCACGGUCCAGGGAGCCCAAUGGAAUCCUGAGCUUUCCCUGCAGGAACAAAUGGUACCCAGACUGGGGGAGGUGUGCCUCCAUGGGCACCUUGAAGAGACCCCCUGCCACUCCCCUGGAAACUCUACGCCUCUUCCUUGUCCAGCCCAAGUGUAAACCUUGGCAGGAGGGAGUUUCUCAGAUCAUUCCCUGUACAACCCAGCCCAGCUGCCUCCUGGGGUCUUUUUUGGGGGGAGGUCAGAGGGUUCUGAGAUGCUGGAGGCUCAUGGGCCACACCCGAGGCUGAGAGAGAGGCUGGCAGGCAGCAGGCAGGGUGAUGACCCGUUCCCUCCUUUCCCAGGACAGCCAGCUGGGGCCCAGCUGGGCCGCUUGUUUACAUGGGAGGCCGGGGGAGGCCGAAUGCAGACAAGUUCCAAGUGUAAUUGCGUUUGGACACUUAAAAGGAAUUGUGUGAAGUGGGCAGAGGCUCUGAGGUCCACCGCCUUAUUUGGUAUGGAAAUUUGUUUCUCUCAAAGUAAGUGAGAGGUGCUUGGUAUGGGAAGCUCGCUCUCUGCCUGAGUUUGAGGAGUCCCACUGCUGAUGUCUUGGUCUGUUGGGGCUGCUGUAACACAACAGCACAGAUUGGGGGCCUCUAAACAACAUUCUCACUGUCCUGGAGGCUGGAAGUCCAGGAUCAAGGCACGGACAGAUCUAGUGUCUGGUGAGGACCUGAUUCUUGGUUCAGAGACAGCUAACUUCUUGCUGUGUUCUCAGAAGGGGCAGGGAGCUGGCUGGGGCUCUUAUAUAAAGGACACUAAUCCCAUUCAGGAGAACACCACCCUCAUGACCUGAUCACCUCUCAAAGGACCCAGCUCUCUCAUACCAGGGAUUAGGUUUGCAAGUUGGAAUUCCCAGGUCCUCUCCUAAGGGUCCGGGUCCGGACCUUCCUCUGCUGGGAGGCCUGAGAGGAAGAGACCAGUUCUGGGCAGAGAUCUCUCUCCGCCAGGUCUGCCUGUGGGCCGUACGUGCAUUACUGCUCCCUUGAUGAUGGGACCAUUGUGGACCAGACCUCCGGGACUCUUCUGCAGCCAGCAAGGCAGCAGGGCCCUCUGACACCAUCCUUGCACACUACAAGUAUUUACUGAGCACCUGCUGGGUGCCAGGCACUGUGCUCCAUGCUGAUGAACAGGACAGAGAAUAUCAGAGUGAGCAGUCGGAGAGUGAUGUGAGGAAGGGGCCCCAAGCCAAGGAAUGCAGGCAGCUUCUAGAAACUGGAAAAGACAAGGAAAUGGAUAGUCCCUUAGAGUCUCCAGAAGGAGCCAGCCCUGCUGACAUCUUGAUUUUAGCUUCUGAUCUGUAGAACUGGUAAGUGAAUAUAUUUGUAUUGUUCUGAGCCACUAAGUUGGUGGUGGUUUGUUAUCGCAGCAAAAGGAAACUGAUGUAUGAGGGGUGGAGGGAUGGGUACCAGGCCAGUUUAGCAAGGGUGGGUGAGAAGCUCUUUCCACAGAGACAGUGCUUGAACUGAGAGCUGAAGAUGGAGAAUGAGAAGGCAGCUGUCCACUGAGUCCUCAGGGAAGCACUCCAGGAUCCAGAACAGCAUGUGCAAAGUCCCUGAGGUGAGAAAGGCAUGGCUAAAGAGCAGGAGAGGAGGACAAAUGCCAGGUGCAGAGCUGCCUCUCCAAAGCCUGAGGUCAGAGUGCUCCUGUGUCCCUCCUCUCUAGUUUGCGGCUCUCUGCCCACUGGACAAUGCCCCACCUCCCUGAUGCCCGGAUAUUACUCAAUAGUGCCCACUUCUCCCCCUUCCCCUGGCCUCUGCCCUGUGCAGGCCUCUGGCACUCCCACCAAGACCCCUGCUGGAGCCUGAGCUCCACUGCAGCUCCUUCCUUAGUGUGGGCGUCCACCGUGUGCACCCCCCCACCCUG
Molecule: RNA transcript, 3029 nt
Organism: Nycticebus coucang (slow loris)
Lineage: Eukaryota; Metazoa; Chordata; Mammalia; Primates; Lorisidae
Exons: 4
Source: RefSeq, a predicted model, not a curated record